This 271-nucleotide ribosomal RNA is filed under the name uncultured bacterium. RNAcentral describes it as "partial 16S ribosomal RNA". It matches the Rfam family "Bacterial small subunit ribosomal RNA", at positions 524 to 794 of the family's 1533-position model. The record is from RNAcentral.
UACGGAGGGGGCGAGCGUUGUUCGGAAUUACUGGGCGUAAAGGGCGCGUAGGCGGCCCAUCAAGUUAGGCGUGAAGGCCCCGGGCUCAACCUGGGAAUUGCGUUUAAGACUGGUGAGCUAGAGGACAGGAGAGGAAAGUGGAAUUCCUAGUGUAGCGGUGAAAUGCGUAGAUAUUAGGAGGAACACCAGUGGCGAAGGCGACUUUCUGGACUGUAACUGACGCUGAGGCGCGAAAGCGUGGGGAGCAAACAGGAUUAGAAACCCUAGUAGU